Molecule: transfer RNA, 72 nt
Filed under: Enterococcus faecium
Lineage: Bacteria; Bacillati; Bacillota; Bacilli; Lactobacillales; Enterococcaceae
Description: tRNA-Gln
Rfam family: tRNA
About the family: Transfer RNA (tRNA) molecules are approximately 80 nucleotides in length.
Source: RNAcentral
UGGGGUAUAGCCAAGCGGUAAGGCAAGUGACUUUGACUCCCUAAUGCGUUGGUUCGAAUCCAGCUAACCCAG